UUCCAUUCUUAAAGGAUUACAUUACAAGAUUCCAAAGGAUAUUCUAGCCAAAGUAGAAAUAGAGCAAAAUUCACUAACCAGGAGAGCAGGUCACUGACUUUCCACCAAUCAGCACACAGCAGUUUCACAUUCUUUAGAGUGGAUUUUGAGACUUGCAAAUAGAAAUGAAAUCCCUCAAGGUAUCACAGGAAGAGAAUGAGGAGUGUGCCCUUCUGAAAACUUGUGAACAAAUAAUGUCUCCAGAAGAUGUCUGAUGUAGUGUAAACAGUGACAGAAGCAGGCCAAGCUGCAAGGAAAAAAAAAAGUUAAAUUAAGGUCUACCUGUGGAACCAACCACAUGCCUCAGGUGUUUAAAAGCUACAAAGUGCUCGAGUGUCCCACUGCAGCCCUGGAACCGCACUUUACAAAUAUGCAAAGACAAAGCAGAGUGAAAGACCACCCUUAGUUUGCUCAAAGCAAGAUGGAUUUCUGCUCUUUUCUGAUCCAUGACUAUAUGGCUCAGGUGUUUUGUGAAGAAUCACACGUCGGAUUUCAGAAAGAACCUGGAGCAUGUUCUGAGAGAGCAAUAAAUCAUAUGCAGGAGUAUUUUAAUGCUAAUAAUGCCUAUAAGAGAUGCCAUUAUGCACC
Long non-coding RNA from Prinia subflava (tawny-flanked prinia), 627 nucleotides. RefSeq lists it as uncharacterized. The record is from RefSeq and is a predicted model, not a curated record. The transcript has 6 exons. Lineage: Eukaryota; Metazoa; Chordata; Aves; Passeriformes; Cisticolidae.